GGUCUUUUAAAAAAAACAUUUCAAUAGAAAAUUCCCAUCUGAGUUAAAGAAUGUAAUAAAAAUAAUAGUAAGUUAUAACAUAGCUGCUUAUCAUGUAUUUUCUGCAAGACAGGUAUUGUUUAUGUGAAUAAUGGCUGUUCUGAUCAGAAUAAUUAUAAAAAUCACUUUAAAUGCAGGUGGAACCAAACUGCUUCUGACUUACAAUGGGUUUGGUUUAGAUAGCAGUUUAAUGGGGACAUUUUAAAAAAUAAAUCAUUAUGAAUGUAAUUAAAAUUGUGCUUUAUUCAAUUUUUUUAUGCUUUCUCAAGGAAGUUAUAAAUUCUGUGCUUUGUAAAGAGGCAGUGUUGGAAAGUUGCCCUCAGUUGUUUCUUCAGGGUAAUUGUGUCCCCCUGCUGUAGGUGAUGCUGAGGGAGAAGUUGCAGCUUAGCUCCAUAUAGUGAAAAAGGAGGUUUGCAUACUUUAAUGUGGAGCCUUUCUUUCUCUCUGCUGACCUCAUGGUGGCAUCUGUACUCGUGGAGCUGUUUGUUGUCUGUUUGGCUCUCUUGUUGAUAAGUAAAUACACAGAGUGGCAGGGAGCUGCUGAUCUGCCAGGGUUGUACUGCAGCAUGCUGAUUGCAGGUCAGUGGUACCAUUUAAACUGAAUGCAGAACUGUGCAUUAGCCUGAUAUUAUAUGUGCACUAGAACAAAAUGGAUAGAAGAGGAAAAACUCAUAAUAGUCUUGACCAUAAUUUUUGCUGUUAACAGUGAAGGAAAAACUCAUAGCAGUCUUGACCAUAAUUUUUGCUGUUAACAAUGAAGGAAAAACUCAUAGCAGUCUUGACCAUAAUUUUUGCUGUUAACAAUGAAGGAUCAAAAAAAAGUUCAACAGCUGACUAAUUUUCUGCAGAAUAUAGUGUAUAACUUUACCAGGCUUCAUUCAGAGAAGAAAAAUACUCAGGUAGGUUCAGGAGGUGUGGUAGUGGUAAAUCUGUCAAAAUACAAGUUACUGUCAGGGAAAAUGGAGUGAUAAACGUAGCCAGCUUGCCUCUUUUUUUUUUUUUUUUUUUUUUUUUUUUUUUUUUUUUUUUUUUUUUUUUUUUCCUGCAACUGGAUUACCAGGUCUGCCUUAGGAAGCAGAAAUAGAAACCACUGAACUAGAAUGCUCAGAUUGUGCUUUUCUGGAGCCCAAGUUUACCCUGGUCACCUGUGGACUGAAAUAGUGCCUUCAGACAGCCCUUUUGCUUGGAUGGUGCUCCUUGAGCAGCGUGUCCAGAGAGCUUUGCCUGCUCGUAGGGAGAAGCUGUCUCCCUGGGUCAUCUCUGCUUGCCUCUCUGUGGGCUGCUGAAGCCUCGAGAAAAAUGGGGUUUGUGCCUGAGUCUUUGUCUUCUUUGCUUAAGACCAGUUAUUGCUCAAGCCUGGAGCAUUAUGAUGAAUUCAUUGUUAGAUCAGAUGGAGAGGGUGUCCUUCCUCUCUGACACAUGGUCUUUAUCCAGUGCAAGAACCUGUGGAUAUGGGGAGUUUAGGACAUGGCUUUGUGUUUGCCUCCCUCAGACCUGUGACUCCAGCACUCAUGAAGUGCUGGAGUCAUAGCUCUGCAUCUUCUUUCAGUAAGAUCUUGCUUUUUGCCCAAGGAGCUCUUCAACUAUUAUAAAAUCCUUUUUUUGCUAGACAAGAGGACAAUCUCCUACUCUUCGAGGAGAAAACCCCAAACAGCUGUGUGAUGCCAUGGAGCCUGGCAGUCAGGACAAUGAGCAGACAGGCAGUGUGGUGUGAAUUGGUCCUCCCAGCAUGGAGGAAAGUCACUUAUUCCUCAUUGGUGUGAAAGAAGAUAAGAGCAAACAGAAAACACAAUGCACUUUAAACUGCCUGGGCCAAAACUGUGAUGGAAGAGGUCAAAUAUGUGGGUUUGGUGACUUGAUUUGUAUCUUUCCUACUCUCUGUCAUCACAGCCAAGGAGAAAACAUCAAAAAUAGUGGUGUUUUACAUAUUGAAACACAGAGGAAAUAUCACCCUAUCUCUUCCUUCUGAAGUGUGAGGGAGAGAAAGUGUAACUUCUAUUUCCUUUCCAAUCUGCUGCUGAGGAAUUCUCUGCAUACAACUUGGAUAUGAUUAUGGCUGUGCAUCAGUAAAGGAGAUUCAGGAAAGUUUGGUUAUUCCAUUGAGAGGCUAUUUAAUUAGAAAUUCUCCAGGGGGUAAAUAAGCACAGUGAUUUUGGUCUCCCAGGUCUGAUGGAAAUGAAUUCUCAGGUUUCUGAUUUCCCAAGCCUCCUUAUGAAUGCUGAGUCCUUUAUACUGUCAGUCUAAAGAUGAACACCAGAGAGAGAUUCCUCAGGAGACCAGCUUAGAGAAGCCUCUACAAUGUUUCUAUGUAUUCAUGUGAUAAAAUACAGCCAUUAUCUUAUCAAGAUAAAUUGUUCAGCCAUUACUAUGGUUAUGGGCUCAGUUAUUUAGCAUCUGAAGCCUUAGAGUUUGAGAAUAGAGUACAAGAAACUUAUUUACUUGAAUGAGUCAGCAUUUGGAAUUCACUUUUCACUGCCUGCCUUAAAUACUGGAGAUGUCAAAAUGCAGAAUUUUAGGAUGAGAUCAUCCCAUCAUUCCAGUUUGGAAGACAACAAAUGAAGGGUACAGGUGGUUGGAAAGAUGGGUGGAAAGAGGACUUUGACUCCAUUCAGAGUUCUUCCAGCUUUUUCAAAAUAUCCUCAUCAGGUUUCCUGCAUUUGCUUCUCUAGAGAGCAAGGAACUCUGGGGUAAUUUAAACCUACUGCAAUUCUGGAGCUCAGAGGAUAUUCUGUCGUAAUGGCUAUUGCCCGCCAAACCUUCUAAAACUGGGAAAGGAAGGGUUCACCCUGGAUGACUUCAAAAAUACACAGAUCUUGGCUUUGGAGCCUAAGAAAAAAACAUGCUUUUAGUUCCCCUCUCCUCCUGCUAUAAUUGAACUUGAAUUCAGGUAUUUGUAGGCAUUGAGAGACAUUUUAGUUGUGCUGAUUUUCCAUUCUGGAAUCGAUUAAGACCUAGAUCAUGCCAAAUACUUAUUGAGAGGCCUCUGGGACACUUCCUUCAUUGUGCAGAGGCUCUCACAUCACCUCAGGAGUGGCAGCCCCAUGUAGCCUUCAAUGGUUGAACCCUCCAAAGCACUGCAGACCUGCUAUUUUUCUGGCUUUGCUGUCCAGUGUCAGGAUUGUUGUUAUUCCUCUUUUGUGAAGUAGAAACUACUUCAUCAAUAAAAUGAGAUGUUCUCACA
Prinia subflava (tawny-flanked prinia) is the source of this 3220-nucleotide long non-coding RNA. RefSeq lists it as uncharacterized. The transcript is spliced from 2 exons. NCBI's taxonomy places the organism in Eukaryota, Metazoa, Chordata, Aves, Passeriformes, Cisticolidae. The record is from RefSeq and is a predicted model, not a curated record.